AGAACGAACGCUGGCGGCAGGCUUAACACAUGCAAGUCGAGCGCAUCCUUCGGGGUGAGCGGCAGACGGGUGAGUAACGCGUGGGGAUAUGCCCAGAGGUGUGGAAUAACUCAGGGAAACUUGAGCUAAUACCGCAUGAGCCCUUCGGGGGAAAGAUUUAUCGCCUUUGGAUUAACCCGCGUCAGAUUAGCUAGUUGGUAGGGUAAUGGCCUACCAAGGCGACGAUCUGUAGCUGGUCUGAGAGGAUGACCAGCCACACUGGGACUGAGACACGGCCCAGACUCCUACGGGAGGCAGCAGUGGGGAAUAUUGGACAAUGGGCGCAAGCCUGAUCCAGCCAUGCCGCGUGAGUGAUGACGGCCUUAGGGUUGUAAAGCUCUUUUAACAGGGACGAUAAUGACGGUACCUGUAGAAUAAGCCCCGGCUAACUUCGUGCCAGCAGCCGC
Molecule: ribosomal RNA, 446 nt
Filed under: uncultured bacterium
Lineage: Bacteria
Description: SSU rRNA
Rfam family: Bacterial small subunit ribosomal RNA
Source: RNAcentral